RNAcentral lists this ribosomal RNA (468 nucleotides) under uncultured bacterium. RNAcentral describes it as "partial 16S ribosomal RNA". It matches the Rfam family "Bacterial small subunit ribosomal RNA", at positions 28 to 507 of the family's 1533-position model. The record is from RNAcentral.
GACGAACGCUGGCGGCGUGCUUAACACAUGCAAGUCGAACGGAAAGGCCCUGCUUGCAGGGUGCUCGAGUGGCGAACGGGUGAGUAACACGUGGGUGAUCUGCACCUUACUUUGGGAUAAGCCUGGGAAACUGGGUCUAAUACUGGAUAGGACCAUGCUGUAGGUGGUGUGGUGGAAAGAUUAGUUUCGGUAAGGGAUGAGCUCGCGGCCUAUCAGCUUGUUGGUGGGGUAAUGGCCUACCAAGGCGUCGACGGGUAGCCGGCCUGAGAGGGUGGACGGCCACAUUGGGACUGAGAUACGGCCCAGACUCCUACGGGAGGCAGCAGUGGGGAAUAUUGCACAAUGGGCGCAAGCCUGAUGCAGCGACGCCGCGUGGGGGAUGACGGCCUUCGGGUUGUAAACUCCUUUCAGCCAUGACGAAGCCUUCGGGUGACGGUAGUGGUAGAAGAAGCACCGGCUAACUACGUG